AUAGGUUAAUGAGGCGAACCGGGGGAACUGAAACAUCUAAGUACCCCGAGGAAAAGAAAUCAACCGAGAUUCCCCCAGUAGCGGCGAGCGAACGGGGAGGAGCCCAGAGCCUGAAUCAGUGUGUGUGUUAGUGGAAGCGUCUGGAAAGGCGCGCGAUACAGGGUGACAGCCCCGUACACAAAAAUGCACAUAUUGUGAGCUCGAUGAGUAGGGCGGGACACGUGGUAUCCUGUCUGAAUAUGGGGGGACCAUCCUCCAAGGCUAAAUACUCCUGACUGACCGAUAGUGAACCAGUACCGUGAGGGAAAGGCGAAAAGAACCCCGGCGAGGGGAGUGAAAAAGAACCUGAAACCGUGUACGUACAAGCAGUGGGAGCCUCUUAAUGGGGUGACUGCGUACCUUUUGUAUAAUGGGUCAGCGACUUAUAUUCUGUAGCAAGGUUAACCGAAUAGGGGAGCCGAAGGGAAACCGAGUCUUAACUGGGCGUUAAGUUGCAGGGUAUAGACCCGAAACCCGGUGAUCUAGCCAUGGGCAGGUUGAAGGUUGGGUAACACUAACUGGAGGACCGAACCGACUAAUGUUGAAAAAUUAGCGGAUGACUUGUGGCUGGGGGUGAAAGGCCAAUCAAACCGGGAGAUAGCUGGUUCUCCCCGAAAGCUAUUUAGGUAGCGCCUCGUGAAUUCAUCUCCGGGGGUAGAGCACUGUUUCGGCAAGGGGGUCAUCCCGACUUACCAACCCGAUGCAAACUGCGAAUACCGGAGAAUGUUAUCACGGGAGACACACGGCGGGUGCUAACGUCCGUCGUGAAGAGGGAAACAACCCAGACCGCCAGCUAAGGUCCCAAAGUCAUGGUUAAGUGGGAAACGAUGUGGGAAGGCCCAGACAGCCAGGAUGUUGGCUUAGAAGCAGCCAUCAUUUAAAGAAAGCGUAAUAGCUCACUGGUCGAGUCGGCCUGCGCGGAAGAUGUAACGGGGCUAAACCAUGCACCGAAGCUGCGGCAGCGACGCUUAUGCGUUGUUGGGUAGGGGAGCGUUCUGUAAGCCUGUGAAGGUGUGCUGUGAGGCAUGCUGGAGGUAUCAGAAGUGCGAAUGCUGACAUAAGUAACGAUAAAGCGGGUGAAAAGCCCGCUCGCCGGAAGACCAAGGGUUCCUGUCCAACGU
RNAcentral lists this ribosomal RNA (1160 nucleotides) under Escherichia coli. RNAcentral's name for it is "partial 23S ribosomal RNA". It matches the Rfam family "Bacterial large subunit ribosomal RNA", at positions 166 to 1365 of the family's 2925-position model. The record is from RNAcentral. Lineage: Bacteria; Pseudomonadati; Pseudomonadota; Gammaproteobacteria; Enterobacterales; Enterobacteriaceae.